GCUGCAUAAGAAAAUGCAAUUCACAAGAGUUGCCCUGAUUUGAAAAAUUCUUCUGAUGCACCUCUUUGUUAUAUGCCAUUUUAUGUUAGUAAGGGCUUCCAACAAAAAAAGGCAUUAACUAAAUCACCCAUUAAUUUCAGACACAGUGAACAUACAGUGGUACCCAUCAAAACUAUAUUAGCUAGAACAUAAUUACCAAGAUUAACAAAUGAGGGAUGAAAUAACAGUGAAAGAAG
Molecule: unclassified non-coding RNA, 236 nt
Filed under: Hevea brasiliensis (rubber tree)
Lineage: Eukaryota; Viridiplantae; Streptophyta; Magnoliopsida; Malpighiales; Euphorbiaceae
Source: RNAcentral